UAAGGAAUAUUGGUCAAUGGACGAAAGUCUGAACCAGCCAUGCCGCGUGGAGGAUGAAGGCCCUCUGGGUUGUAAACUUCUUUUAUAUGGGACGAAAAAGGGUCUUUCUAGAUCAACUGACGGUACCAUGUGAAUAAGCACCGGCUAACUCCGUGCCAGCAGCCGCGGUAAUACGGAGGGUGCAAGCGUUAUCCGGAUUCACUGGGUUUAAAGGGUGCGUAGGUGGGUUGGUAAGUCAGUGGUGAAAUCUCCGAGCUUAACUUGGAAACUGCCAUUGAUACUAUCAAUCUUGAAUAUUGUGGAGGUUAGCGGAAUAUGUCAUGUAGCGGUGAAAUGCUUAGAUAUGACAUAGAACACCAAUUGCGAAGGCAGCUGGCUACGCAUAUAUUGACACUGAGGCACGAAAGCGUGGGGAUCAAACA
Molecule: ribosomal RNA, 422 nt
Filed under: uncultured bacterium
Lineage: Bacteria
Description: bacterial SSU rRNA
Rfam family: Bacterial small subunit ribosomal RNA
Source: RNAcentral